GCUCUGCGUGCGCCGGAGGCUGCCAUGGCGGGUGGGCAGCUUGACUUCUCCUCCCGGCCAGUUGUCGAGCGCCUCACCAGGCCUCGCCCUGCAGCCUCGCUCUCCCUGGCGCUGCGCGGCCUAGGGGACUGGGCUGCUGGCCUCCGGGUGCGGGGUGGGGGCAGGCUCUGACCUGGGGCGUUCUGGCCGCGCGAGCCGCGGGAUGGGGCCCCCGGCCCCGGAGGAGGCGCCGCUGCUGUGUCCCUUGGUGGAGAGGGCGCUGCCAGCCCUGCGCGGUUUCCAGCCAGGAAGCUUCGGGAAGCCUGGACGUCUGCUCACUGGAGAUGACACGUGCGUGGGGUGUUGGAUGCAGAGGCCAGGAUGUGGGCCCAGCCCUGUGCCAGAAGGCUGGCUGGAAUAAAGGGAUGGGCAGGCUGGCAUGGGGGCACCCGCUGCCCCUGCCUGGGUGUUGCUGUGUAUUCCCGCCGGCCAGGGGCCACUGCCAGGACCACCCCUCCCUUUUCAUAUCCCGAUUCUUAAGUUCUGCUAUUGUGGUAUUGUGGUCGAAAAAAAAGAACCGCUUGGCUGUUUUUGAACUGCCUGGAACCUAAGAUCCUGAAUUUUUUUUCCCCCCCAAGGGGGAAAGUCUAUAUGGAAAACAUUUAUUUUAAAAUACAGGAUGAAGUGAAUUAAAAGAUUUAAAUGCAAAAAAAAAAAAAAA
RNAcentral lists this long non-coding RNA (700 nucleotides) under Homo sapiens (human). Its description in RNAcentral is "HSALNT0341823". Lineage: Eukaryota; Metazoa; Chordata; Mammalia; Primates; Hominidae. The record is from RNAcentral.